This is a long non-coding RNA of Erpetoichthys calabaricus (reedfish), 3891 nucleotides long. RefSeq lists it as uncharacterized. The record is from RefSeq and is a predicted model, not a curated record. The transcript is spliced from 4 exons. NCBI's taxonomy places the organism in Eukaryota, Metazoa, Chordata, Cladistia, Polypteriformes, Polypteridae.
CUCGGAAUAAGCGUCAGAAGGCAUAACAUGCAGUGUCGUAAGGGUAUGAGAAGCGUGGUGGCUGUCCUGGACUAAAGUUAAACGCACAAAGUAACGCUGCCCUUUAUUAGAACAUCAGCAGCCAUUUGCAAGCUGGCGAAACUACUACUGCAACUCUUUAACCUCGAUUCCCAGGACCCUCUUCAUCCGUGCGAAACCAUCCGCGGCACCAGGCGACAAGCAGGCAGGAACCCACCUCGGAAGGAACGCCAGCAGAACUGAAGACCCAUCUCCAAUACAGCUGUGUAGACCAUGCCUGCCAUGAUGAUAUUCCCCCAAAACCGUAGGAGAACAAAUAGCCUGGAACGGUUCCUGAAGUUCAGAGAAGUCUGGCACUCCUGCUCACCCACCUUGGGUGCACCACGAAUAAAGGCCAAUCCAUUGGGUCUCCAGAAUAUGCCAAGCAAAUGUCACUUGCCAUGGAGGCUGAUGUUCAGCAGCAGGCAAACGUGACUAAGAAGGAAAGGAUGGUUAAAUGGUGCCGACCUCUUUGCAGUUUUCCUUUUUGUUUUAUAACAUGUCUAAGCUACAUCCCAAUACAGGAUUCCUGGUAAACAUUAUUUUUUGAAGGUUUAAAUCAACAGAACUUCUGCCGCUAUCGUUCUGCAUUUGCUGUAACUUGUUUAACAAGCUUCCUUUCCUUAAAAACACAGAUCCUGGUAAAGUGAGCCUCCUGAUAUGACCUAAGGUGGGCUAAAUAUACAGAUGAUUUAUUUAUUCUUUUCAGACACGCCAAUUGCAUUGCUGCAACAUAAAUUUUCCUAAUGCUGUCAUUUUUACCAAAAGGUGGCAAUCCAGAAGGUGCCAUUGAGAAUGAUUCUCAGGUUCUCUCAAACUGGGUAAUAAUGAGAAAGAAAUAAACAGAUCUACUAGCCGCUGCAUUCUAUCAGAAUUCGCUGUCAGGUUCAGGGACGGUUGCUCUGCGGGUCACCUCGGAUUUCAAAACACCUUUAUUUCUGGGGAUCUGUUAGAGGUGUGUGGAUCCAGGGAUAGGUCUGAUAUCGGAACACAUUUUUUUUCUAAAAGAAUUUUAAAUUUGCUGUUUCAGCACAGACAACAAACUUCAGUCAAUUAGAUUUAAAGUAGACACCACAAAGUAGGAAUUACAUGAAUAGCCAAUGUGAAAUCCUUGUUGUCCUGUUGUUAUUCAAGAAGAUUCAUGCAACUCCUUCAAGGAAUCCACUCCCCAGAAAUGAUACCAUUUAUUUGUUGCUUACCCCAUGUGUUUUGUAAUAAUGAGUUAUGUUUAAAAAGUGUGGUAGAAUACAAUCCAGUAGUGACCAACAGCAAUGAUGUAAAAAAAAUCAAUCAAAUUCCCUUUUUGUGUAUCGUGUAAUCCACAUGUCAGUUAUCCAGGACUCUUAACAUGCAGAACACGUGCAUUUUAUGCUAAAAUAUCAUUCAGUGUUUAUAUAAUACUAUAUUGUCUGGUCAAGAGUCCUGUCUUCAUUUGAAAAGCACAGUAUUGUGAGAAAGUGUUUCUCAUUUAUGAGGUGUGCUGAUUUUUCCAGAAUUGUUUGUUUUUUGAGCAUAUAAUCCACGCGUCUUGCAUGUGGUGAGCAAACAACUGGAUCCGUGACCCGAGUAACAUGAGAUUUCUUUUUCUUUUGUUCCCACCAUGUGCCGUUGUAUAGCUUUAGUCUCAAUUUAAUAUCAAAAACGUUUUAUUGUGGUUGUCCUGAAAACAUGGGAUUUCAUUUUCUUUUCUUGGUCCUCAUUGCACAAAACAUAUAAAAAAAUGUUAAGUAGAUGUUUUAAAGAUGAUUUUAAAAUGUGAAUUUGUGUUCCUGGUGGAAGUGAAUGAGUGUCUUGAAACAUUAAAAAGCCGGUGUGAUUCCUGGCACAAGGAAACCCCAAUGGAGCGUCAAAAUGCACUAUGGUUUUAUAUUUUAAAUGGUUUUAUCUGGACAUUAUUUUUGUUUGCCAUUACCAUGUACUUGCAGGUAACUUCCCAGAGCAAAGUCUGGACCUGGCCUCACACAUUACCCGACUAAUGCAUGUCCCCUUCAUAUCCAGAUGCGUUUCUGCAGAGACAUGCAGUUUACUUGGAUGGGUUCCUGGUGUGCAUGUGCGUGUGUGUGCGUGUGUGUGUGUGUUCACCCUGGCAUCCUGUCCAGGUAUUGUUCCUGCCUUGUUCCCUUAGCUUGCUGGAUUGGGCUUCAGCUUCCCAGUGAUCCUGCUCAGGAUGAAACAGGUUUUGAAAAUGGAUGGAUGGAUUUAUUGCCAGAAUAUGCGCAUGAUGUUAUUGUGUUCAAAAUAAUGAUUGCUUAAAUGACACUUUAUUGACAUGAUAUCAUCAUCCUCAUUGUUAUUCAAAUCAGAGUUGCCCAGGGGGCGGAGCCUAUCCCAUCAGCAUUAGACACAUGGCAGGACACAGCGCCGGACAGGAUGGCGCUUCAUUAUCAGCGGAUAACAUCAGAUUUACUCUGUAGUGGCAUCAAAAUGAGGACGAGGAAGCUUUUGCGUGUUUUGUUUUUUUAUGUUGCAGCAAUGCAAAGCAAAAUCUUUAAUAAUUGUUAGGGAAAUGGGGGCACUACACUUUCCCUCAGGAAUUCAUAUGAGUGAACCGCUUUUGCAGUUUGUGUUUGUAUUUUGUACAGACUGUAGUGCCUUUUAAUAGAGGCAAAUCAUACGCAAAUAGUUUUAUGUUUAUUGUUCACAGUGUAUAUUAAUUCAUUUCUGAAAAUUGUGGUUUACAAUUACUUUGUAAUAUUAUUAUUAUUAUUAUUAUUAUGAUGUGUAUGAGAUGUUCUUCAUUUCAAGCGUUGCAUACUCUUGGAUGCUAAAUGCAUUUAUUUGUGUAGUGUAAUGAUAUUUGUUCAUUUUAAGUAUUAAUAAUGAGUGUGUAAAUGCAGUCACUAACAGUAGGACAGUGUUUGUUUAAUUAAGCUCAGCACAUCAAUGGUGUAAUUGAUGAGCUGUUGAGCAAUAAGAGCAAUAAAUGCAUGUGACAUGUAUAUUGUACAGUUUGAUGUUAAGUAUGUAGUUGGUGUCUGUUGACGCUCUGCAUACACUUGUGUCCAUACUGUGUAUUGGUUAUAAAUGGAGUGCCAAACUGCACUCUUUGCACUGCCAACGGAUUACUGUUUACAGCCCAAUGUGCCCUUAUUCUGCAUAGUAAAGCAGUAUUGUGCAAAUAUGGUGACACUGAAAGGGCCAAAUUCAAAUGGAGAGCAGGGUCUUGGAAAAUCUUUUCCUGGGUUUCUUUGCUGCCAUCCAGAGAUCUUUAUACGUCUUAUGAAAUUAGCUUCUUGCUUUGGUGCCACCAGGAAUGUUUUGUGCCCCCUCUGGCGGCCACUGCUUUCCCACACUGAGCCUUGAAUUGGUCCUCCAGAUGCCCGCGUGGGCUUGUUUUAUAAGUAGCCCACCUGGCUGGUAACUUCUGUCAGUUGGGAAAGCUGUCACAGUAGAUACCCUGUGGCUAACCGGUCACUGCUAACUGUGGAUUGAGGGUGGAGUACUAAGUCCAUUUUGCCUUGUCCCAUGAGAGUGUACAUCCUGAUUGUACUUGUUUGGUGUACCUCGGCCAUUAUUUGAUUGUAAUUUUUCACUUGUUGACUCUUCUCUGUUUCUGUGUUUGAAUUGUCUCCCUCAUGAAGAAAUGGUGUAAUGAACAGUUAUUUUUUUCCCAUAACUGCUCACUAGAGGUUCCAUCCUUAUAAUGUUCUGGCCUUUUCUCACAUUACGACUGUCCCAAUUUACUUCCUCAAUACUGUAGAAGGAACCUUGAAUUUGUUUUUCUUGUUUUUCUCAUAUUUGUUUUCAAAUCCAUUUUGUAUUGUUUCCUUUACUUUACCUCGUUGUUUCAUUUGUCUGUUGACUCUUCAAUAAACUGUAAAACUUAUCUGUGAA